Molecule: ribosomal RNA, 495 nt
Filed under: uncultured bacterium
Lineage: Bacteria
Description: partial 16S ribosomal RNA
Rfam family: Bacterial small subunit ribosomal RNA
Source: RNAcentral
GACGAACGCUGGCGGCGUGCCUAAUACAUGCAAGUAGAACGCUGAAGGAGGAGCUUGCUUCUCUGGAUGAGUUGCGAACGGGUGAGUAACGCGUAGGUAACCUGCCUGGUAGCGGGGGAUAACUAUUGGAAACGAUAGCUAAUACCGCAUAAUAGUAGAUGUCGCAUGACAUUUGCUUAAAAGGUGCAAUUGCAUCACUACCAGAUGGACCUGCGUUGUAUUAGCUAGUUGGUGAGGUAACGGCUCACCAAGGCAACGAUACAUAGCCGACCUGAGAGGGUGAUCGGCCACACUGGGACUGAGACACGGCCCAGACUCCUACGGGAGGCAGCAGUAGGGAAUCUGCGGCAAUGGACGGAAGUCUGACCGAGCAACGCCGCGUGAGUGAAGAAGGUUGUCGGAUCGUAAAGCUCUGUUGUAAGAGAAGAACGAGUGUGAGAGUGGAAAGUUCACACUGUGACGGUAUCUUACCAGAAAGGGACGGCUAACUACGUG